AUUUUUUUUUUUUUCUCUUAAAUCCCACAGAAUUUUCUCUCUGUCAGUUCUCCCGGUUUUUUUAUUUAUUUUUUUUUUGGAAUUUUUUUGUUGUUUUUUGGGUGUUUUUAAUAACGUUUUUUUUUUAAAAAAAGUAAAAAAAAAUUUUUUUUGGGAGUAAGAAAAUUUGGUGUUUUUUGGGUGUUUUUUUGCUUUUUUUUUUAUAUGAAAAUUUAGGGCUCUUUUACUUGAAAUGAGGGUAAUUUUUUGGGGGUCAAAUUUUUUUUUUUUGGAGGGGGGCGCUGGAGUCGUUCAAGUACUAUACUACUCCCCUUAGGGGAAAAAAUGAGUUUUAUAAAAAACCCCAGGAUUAAGGUUUUGGUGUGCUCUUUACAAAAAAAAUUUUUUAUUUUUUUAUGGGGGGUAUAAAUACAAAGUGUGUUUUUUUUCUUCUUAAUUUUGAAGUUAAAAAUCACACAAAAAUGUUGGUAAAAUUUUUAUUUUGGAUGUAAAAAGGGGUUUUUUUCUUUAAAAUGGGGGGUCAAAAAUUGAAGAUAAUUUUUUUUUUUUUGUGGGGGGCUAAAGGAGUGGUAUAUUGUGUGAC
Molecule: long non-coding RNA, 583 nt
Filed under: Mytilus galloprovincialis (Mediterranean mussel)
Lineage: Eukaryota; Metazoa; Mollusca; Bivalvia; Mytilida; Mytilidae
Source: RNAcentral